This is a long non-coding RNA of Clarias gariepinus (North African catfish), 309 nucleotides long. RefSeq lists it as uncharacterized. The transcript has 3 exons. NCBI's taxonomy places the organism in Eukaryota, Metazoa, Chordata, Actinopteri, Siluriformes, Clariidae. The record is from RefSeq and is a predicted model, not a curated record.
GCUGCCAGUAAACACCAACGACGAAGCGCUUACGUCUCCCACAAAGCGGAAGGAGACUCAAACAGUUAGCUGUGUAUUAAUUUGAUAGUGCGUUCUGUUGCGGGCUGGAAGAGAGGAAGGAACCAGCAAGAGAAAAUGACAGAAAUUAACUUCACGGAACAUUGGCGGGCAGUUACGACGGCUCAUGGUGCCUAACACAGCUUCUCACUGCGAGUCAAACUGCAUAGCAAUCAGUGUGUGUGAUAAUACCUGGAGGUGGAUCACUGACACUGAUGUGAACAGGAACCUGCAGAUCUCCUGCACCACACC